Long non-coding RNA from Sitodiplosis mosellana (orange wheat blossom midge), 824 nucleotides. RefSeq lists it as uncharacterized. Lineage: Eukaryota; Metazoa; Arthropoda; Insecta; Diptera; Cecidomyiidae. The record is from RefSeq and is a predicted model, not a curated record. The transcript is spliced from 3 exons.
AAAAACCAAAUAAAUAUAACCGUUUGUGGUUGGCUGAAGUGACUCCAAAUCGCGGUGUUCGGAGAAAGUUUGCGGUUUGGAACCCGUCAAUUUGGUCAUCAAUAUUUGUCAAAAAAGAUUUUUUCUAUGAGGCGAUCCGAUGAAUUCAUCAUUCUAAGAUCUAUAGAAUCGCCUACGUAUCCAGAAAUAUGCCAUUUUCAGUCAUAUUUUUAUAUUAUAGUCUAUCUGUUUUUGGUAUAUCAAUAGAAUCUAUUUUUUUCGAUUGAAUUUCAGUGUGAAAAUCAUCGCUUGAUGCCAAGAAUACGCAGAAAAAAAUUCAACUAAAAUGUACCAAACAUCGCAUAGUAUAAACUGCUGGACCAAUUAAUUAAAAACUGAAGAAUAGGAUUGAAAUAAAUUUGUGCCAAAAAAUAAAUUAUUUUGAUAUGAAUCAAAAUAAAAAAAAAACAUUUUCACGUAAUAAAAGUGAAUCACCCGAGCUCAAAAAUCAGUUUAUUGGAAUAGCGUUUGGACUCUCUGAAUUCGUGUCUCUGUAUGUGUGUGUGUGUCAGUCAGUUGGCUUUUGAUUUAGUGUAUAAGCUUAUGCAUUGGAAUCUUUUUGAUAUGGUGCACUUCACAGCCAGCAACUGAUUUACGUAACGUGAAGAGGUUGGAAUGUGAGAACGUUGUCGACAUUGUCUCAUUGGAACAGCCAUGAAUUUGGAUGAAUGAACUUGUUGCAAAUAUAAUGUUAAUUGUGGUGUGAGCUUCUGUUUACCCGUGUCGGAUUCGAAAAAGAGAAAAAGAAAACAGCGUAGUGCAUUGAACAUCGUUCAACUCAUCGG